RNAcentral lists this ribosomal RNA (253 nucleotides) under uncultured bacterium. Its description in RNAcentral is "partial 16S ribosomal RNA". It matches the Rfam family "Bacterial small subunit ribosomal RNA", at positions 524 to 776 of the family's 1533-position model. The record is from RNAcentral.
UACGUAGGGGGCGAGCGUUGUCCGGAUUUAUUGGGCGUAAAGAGCGUGUAGGCGGCCAGGUAGGUCCGUUGUGAAAACUCGAGGCUCAACCUCGAGACGUCGGCGGAAACCCUCUGGCUAGAGUCCGGAAGAGGAGAGUGGAAUUCCUGGUGUAGCGGUGAAAUGCGUAGAUAUCGUGAGGAAGACCAGUGGCGAAGGCGGAUCUCUGGACAGUUCCUGACGCUGAGGCGCGAAGGCCAGGGGAGCAAACGGG